Long non-coding RNA from Physella acuta, 237 nucleotides. RefSeq lists it as uncharacterized. The record is from RefSeq and is a predicted model, not a curated record. NCBI's taxonomy places the organism in Eukaryota, Metazoa, Mollusca, Gastropoda, Physidae.
AGCCAAUACUCCACCUGGAAGAUGCCAUUGAUAAAAACACGGUCUUUUCUGACGUCACUAUGGAGAAAAUUGUUGGUGACCCAAAAGCUGCCCUUGAGCUGAGUGACGUGACGGUGGAAGGCACGGUGAAGCAAGGCACCCAGUACCACUGUUACAUAGAGAACCAGGCUGCUCUCUGCGUUCCUUCAGAGGACGGCCUUGACCUUUACUGCACGACCCAAGCCGCCGACCUCGUCC